GGGAAGAACAAGUGCAAGAGUAACUGCUUGCACCUUGACGGUACCUAACCAGAAAGCCACGGCUAACUACGUGCCAGCAGCCGCGGUAAUACGUAGGUGGCAAGCGUUGUCCGGAAUUAUUGGGCGUAAAGGGCUCGCAGGCGGUUUCUUAAGUCUGAUGUGAAAGCCCCCGGCUCAACCGGGGAGGGUCAUUGGAAACUGGGAAACUUGAGUGCAGAAGAGGAGAGUGGAAUUCCACGUGUAGCGGUGAAAUGCGUAGAGAUGUGGAGGAACACCAGUGGCGAAGGCGACUCUCUGGUCUGUAACUGACGCUGAGGAGCGAAAGCGUGGGGAGCGAACAGGAUUAGAUACCCUGGUAGUCCACGCCGUAAACGAUGAGUGCUAAGUGUUAGGGGGUUUCCGCCCCUUAGUGCUGCAGCUAACGCAUUAAGCACUCCGCCUG
Molecule: ribosomal RNA, 442 nt
Filed under: Bacillus altitudinis
Lineage: Bacteria; Bacillati; Bacillota; Bacilli; Caryophanales; Bacillaceae
Description: bacterial SSU rRNA
Rfam family: Bacterial small subunit ribosomal RNA
Source: RNAcentral